Molecule: non-coding RNA, 1966 nt
Organism: Chrysemys picta bellii (western painted turtle)
Lineage: Eukaryota; Metazoa; Chordata; Testudines; Emydidae
Source: RefSeq, a predicted model, not a curated record
ACACUAUCCAUACUGAAGAUACUUUUUUUCUUCUUGUCUAUACCAGUGUGCGGUGUUGUUGUGCAUUGCUAAAUAGCUACCUUGCUUCAGUUCUGAGGUAUAUGCAUUUUAGUGGUGGAUGGUCCCGAAAACGCUCCUUCCUCAUUUUGAAGUAAUGCAGUCACUACUGCUCAUCCAAGAGAACAGCUGAGGUUGUCAUGGUCCAGACCCAAAAGCAGCACUGUAUGUGGUGAACAUCAUCAAAUAUUGCCUGGAUCCAACAACUCCAGAGGUGGGAGGUAUACAGCUGUUGCAGCAAUAAUUCCAAGAGCUGCUGGUCUUGCUCUCUGGCUGUCCAUUGGUCCUGCUAGAACACUCUCCACUGCCCUAUUGCAGCUGCCUCAAUCACCAUGCAACUCUUCAAAGACUGGAGCAAAUUCUUUUCUUUCUGAGCAAAGAGCAAGAACUGACCAUGCAUGCUGACCUCCAUUUUCAGGAAAGGACUGGGAAAUAGCACUGGUUCCUGCAGGCUUCUGGGAUUUUCCAAGGGAUUUAAGAAUCAACAUCUCCUACAAAGUCUAUGCUGGGAAAAAUGCUGAAGGAAAGGAAAAUAAUGUCAGCUGAUGGUGUCAUCCCUCAUGGAAAACAUUCUGAGGAGGACAGCACAAUAAAACUUGGGAGUGAAGGUGUCACUUCUGUGUUUAAAUGGCUGUGAACUGAAACAGAGAUAAUAUUUGGAUUUGGGAUACAAUACCAAGAUCUGUCCCUGGCUUUCUUCACAUGGGUUCCUAGAUGGUGACUCCAUGACUUAGAAAGAGUAGAUUUCUCAUCUCAUCCACCUGACGCUACACCUUUUAAUUCUUUCCACCAUCCCAGAACUCAAAAGGUAACCUAUCUGACACCUCCCACCCUCUGUCAUGCCCCGAGAACCAGACUCUCUUUUUUUCCUCCCCAAAGCUGAUAGCAAGAGAAUAUCACCAUUUUUCAAAAGGAAGUGUUCCCCCCGCUCCUUUUCCUUCAUUAUGCAGCCUUUACUUCAAUGGGACUACUCACAUGCUUAAAUUACAUUGUAGAAUCAGGACCGUAACUAGGUAGCCUAUUUUAAAGCAUUGUUCCUCCUAAUAGCAUAUAUCAUUUUGUCUGGUCAGCUAUAAUUUCAUUGUUAGGGACUGCAUUUAAAAGUCUUCUCAUCAUUAUCUGUAGGUGGCAGAAUCUACAAUGUAACAUACUGUGCUGGAUCUGUCUAAGUCUCUUUUCCUCCUGAUUGUGGUAUAUGAGCCUCAAAAUCUGCUACAUUUUGUUGGACCUGCAGAUAUCGUUAGCAAAAUUUUAGCAAUUUCACCCAUCUAUCCAACAAGACAGAUUUAUAAGUAGAGAGCCAGCCAUCAAUUUGAGGAAAAUCUCUCCCACUUGGGAAUAGUAAUGACCCUCGUGUUCACAUAUUACUGUGCCUUGGGGUAUAAUACUUUUGCUUUCAAAAGUCCCUAUGUGGAAGGGACCAUCUCUGAGACAGAAAGAGUCUUUAUUCUGACUCAAAGUGGUUAAGUCAUCAUAUCACUAAUGGAACAAAAACAGCUAAGCAGGGACCUGCUCUGUUUUGUCACAAAAGUCAGGCACUGGCCAUACUGGUGGAGAUUAUCAUUAUCACAUAUUACUGAGCCAAGAAUAAUAGAAGUGUUCCAUUUUACAUCAUAUCUUGCUUUAAUAUAAGCAGUUCAAGUUUCUAUUUUGAUUAUUCUUUAAUUUAAUCUUUUAGUAGAAAGCUGGUAUUUAAGUAUACAUUGGACAAAAUAAUGUGAAUCACCUUUGUAACAAAUAAAACCAGGAAAUUCACUGUUACCUAUUAUGGAUGCCUAUUUACUUACUCAUGUUUUCUCUUGUUAAUGAAGUGUUGACUGAAUUACAACUGUUAUAUCAUGAAAGAUUGCCAUUUCUAACAAAGACCAAAAGAGGAAAUGAGUGCCAAAUUAAAAGUCUUUGUUUCAUA